This 69-nucleotide transfer RNA is filed under the name Macropharyngodon negrosensis (yellowspotted wrasse). Its description in RNAcentral is "tRNA-His". It matches the Rfam family "tRNA". From Rfam's summary of the family: Transfer RNA (tRNA) molecules are approximately 80 nucleotides in length. Their secondary structure includes four short double-helical elements and three loops (D, anti-codon, and T loops). Further hydrogen bonds mediate the characteristic L-shaped molecular structure. tRNAs have two regions of fundamental functional importance: the anti-codon, which is responsible for specific mRNA codon recognition, and the 3' end, to which the tRNAs corresponding amino acid is attached (by aminoacyl-tRNA synthetases). tRNAs cope with the degeneracy of the genetic code in two manners: having more than one tRNA (with a specific anti-codon) for a particular amino acid; and 'wobble' base-pairing, i.e. permitting non-standard base-pairing at the 3rd anti-codon position. The record is from RNAcentral. Lineage: Eukaryota; Metazoa; Chordata; Actinopteri; Labriformes; Labridae.
GUAGGCAUAGUUUAACCAAAACGCCAGAUUGUGAUUCUGGAAAUAGUGGUUAAACCCCUCUUGUCCACC